AACGCACAUUGCGCCCUGUGGUAUUCCGCGGGGCAUGCCUGUUCGAGCGUCAUUAUAGCCAUCAAGCCUAGCUUGGUAUUGGAGCCCGCGCCUGCGGCUCUCAAAAAUAGUGGCAGUCUUUACAGACCCUAAGUGUAGUAACAUAUCUCGCUUUUGGACUCUGUAGCGGCUCGCCAGAACCUAAACUUUUCAGGUUGACCUCGGAUCAGGUAGGGAUACCCGCUGAACUUAA
RNAcentral lists this unclassified non-coding RNA (232 nucleotides) under uncultured fungus. RNAcentral's name for it is "sequence contains ITS2". Lineage: Eukaryota; Fungi. The record is from RNAcentral.